GACGAACGCUGGCGGCGCGCUUAACACAUGCAAGUCGAACGGAAAGGCCUGCUUUCCCUUGUGGAUUGCGGGUACUCGAGUGGCGAACGGGUGAGUAACACGUGAGUGAUCUGCCCCCAACUUGGGUAUAAGCCUGGGAAACUGGGUCUAAUUCCCGAUAGGACUGCAGGGUGGUGCCUGUGGUGGAAAACGAUUUUCUAGUGGUUGGGGAUGAGCUCGCGGCCUAUCGGCUUGUUGGUGGGGUAAUGGCCUACCAAGGCGGCGACGGGUAGCCGGCCUGAGAGGGUGGACGGCCACAUUGGGACUGAGAUACGGCCCAGACUCCUACGGGAGGCAGCAGUGGGGAAUAUUGCACAAUGGGCGGAAGCCUGAUGCAGCGACGCCGCGUGGGGGAUGACGGCCUUCGGAUUGUAAACUCCUUUCGACCGCGAGGAAGCCACCUGGUUGGAAGGGUGGUGACGGUAGUGGUAGAAGAAGCACCGGCUAACUACGUG
Molecule: ribosomal RNA, 494 nt
Filed under: uncultured bacterium
Lineage: Bacteria
Description: partial 16S ribosomal RNA
Rfam family: Bacterial small subunit ribosomal RNA
Source: RNAcentral